GAGUUUGAUCCUGGCUCAGAACGAACGCUGGCGGCAGGCCUAACACAUGCAAGUCGAGCGCACCUUCGGGUGAGCGGCGGACGGGUUAGUAACGCGUGGGAAUAUACCCUUUUCUACGGAAUAGCCUCGGGAAACCGAGAGUAAUACCGUAUACGCCCUUCGGGGGAAAGAUUUAUCGGAGAAGGAUUAGCCCGCGUUGGAUUAGGUAGUUGGUGGGGUAAAAGCCUACCAAGCCGACGAUCCAUAGCUGGUUUGAGAGGAUGAUCAGCAACACUGGGACUGAGACGCGGCCCAGACUCCUACGGGAGGCAGCAGUGGGGAAUCUUAGACAAUGGGGGAAACCCUGAUCUAGCCAUGCCGCGUGAGUGACGAAGGCCUUAGGGUCGUAAAGCUCUUUCGCCAGGGAAGAUAAUGACGGUACCUGGUAAAGAAACCCCGGCUAACUCCGUGCCAGCAGCCGCGGUAAUA
Molecule: ribosomal RNA, 468 nt
Filed under: uncultured bacterium
Lineage: Bacteria
Description: bacterial SSU rRNA
Rfam family: Bacterial small subunit ribosomal RNA
Source: RNAcentral